Molecule: ribosomal RNA, 252 nt
Filed under: uncultured bacterium
Lineage: Bacteria
Description: partial 16S ribosomal RNA
Rfam family: Bacterial small subunit ribosomal RNA
Source: RNAcentral
UACGUAGGUGGCGAGCGUUAUCCGGAAUGAUUGGGCGUAAAGGGUGCGUAGGCGGCCUGCUAAGUCUGGAGUGAAAGGUACCGGCUCAACCGGUACAGGCUCUGGAAACUGGCGGGCUAGAGAGCAGGAGAGGGCGGUGGAAUUCCAUGUGUAGCGGUGAAAUGCGUAGAUAUAUGGAGGAACACCGGUGGCGAAAGCGGCUCUCUGGCCUGUAACUGACACUGAGGCUCGAAAGCGUGGGGAGCAAACAGG